Molecule: ribosomal RNA, 459 nt
Filed under: uncultured bacterium
Lineage: Bacteria
Description: partial 16S ribosomal RNA
Rfam family: Bacterial small subunit ribosomal RNA
Source: RNAcentral
CCUACGGGAGGCAGCAGUGAGGAAUAUUGGUCAAUGGCCGAGAGGCUGAACCAGCCAAGUCGCGUGAGGGAAGACGGCCCUACGGGUUGUAAACCUCUUUUGUCGGGGAGCAAAGCGGACCACGUGUGGCUCAUUGAGAGUACCCGAAGAAAAAGCAUCGGCUAACUCCGUGCCAGCAGCCGCGGUAAUACGGAGGAUGCGAGCGUUAUCCGGAUUUAUUGGGGUUAAAGGGUGCGCAGGCGGAGGUGCAAGUCAGCGGUAAAAUUGCGGGGCUCAACCCCGUACUGCCGUUGAAACUGCAUCCCUUGAGUGCGCGAGAAGUAUGCGGAAUGCGUGGUGUAGCGGUGAAAUGCAUAGAUAUCACGCAGAACUCCGAUUGCGAAGGCAGCAUACCGGCGCGCAACUGACGCUCAUGCACGAAAGCGUGGGUAUCGAACAGGAUUAGAUACCCCUGUAGUC